This is a non-coding RNA of Odocoileus virginianus texanus, 613 nucleotides long. The record is from RefSeq and is a predicted model, not a curated record. NCBI's taxonomy places the organism in Eukaryota, Metazoa, Chordata, Mammalia, Artiodactyla, Cervidae.
AUUGUCCUAAGAGGGUAUAAUAUAUAUAGGGAGGUCAGAGGCAGAGAUUCUGGGUUAGGCCACUUCAUGGUAUCAUCAUGACUAAGGUAACCAGGAAGCCACGGCAGUCAAGAAGAGUUGCAACGUGGUUUGCUUCAAGGAUGAAAGGAAGAAAGAAGAGCCUUUGUCAAUGGAGACACAGAGGCAGAAUGAAGGCACAAAUAUGACCAUGAGGGUCAGAAGACCUCUAGAAGGGACCUUGAGAAAGAAAAUCUGAUCAUAUGCCACUCAAUCAAAGAAGGUGAAGAAAACAAGAAAACCAAACUGUUUUUUUCUGUCCCUGUGCAUGUAAGAAACUGAAUCAAACCCGAAAAAGGUACCAAAAUAUGAGGCAGAGUCAAAGGAGGAGGCAGAAUCAAAAGAAAAGAUAAGCUCAGCUGCCCCAGAAUAAGAGACCCUGGAGAAGUACAAACUGGGCAGCCAGUAAGUGAAUAGAAAAGAUCAGACAGUUUAGAAUUGUGUCUCCAGAGGUCUGCUUUCUUAGAAAUGGCCAACCAGGAAAAGACUGACUCUCACAGUAACAUAGUAAACUGAUGGCUGCAAUUAAAAUAAACAUCAAAUGGUGAAAAGAUGA